Molecule: ribosomal RNA, 465 nt
Filed under: Vreelandella stevensii
Lineage: Bacteria; Pseudomonadati; Pseudomonadota; Gammaproteobacteria; Oceanospirillales; Halomonadaceae
Description: partial 16S ribosomal RNA
Rfam family: Bacterial small subunit ribosomal RNA
Source: RNAcentral
CCUACGGGGGGCUGCAGUGGGGAAUAUUGGACAAUGGGGGCAACCCUGAUCCAGCCAUGCCGCGUGUGUGAAGAAGGCCCUCGGGUCGUAAAGCACUUUCAGUGAGGAAGAACGCCUGGUGGUUAAUACCCAUCAGGAAAGACAUCACUCACAGAAGAAGCACCGGCUAACUCCGUGCCAGCAGCCGCGGUAAUACGGAGGGUGCGAGCGUUAAUCGGAAUUACUGGGCGUAAAGCGCGCGUAGGUGGCUUGAUAAGCCGGUUGUGAAAGCCCCGGGCUCAACCUGGGGACGGCAUCCGGAACUGUCAAGCUAGAGUGCAGGAGAGGAAGGUAGAAUUCCCGGUGUAGCGGUGAAAUGCGUAGAGAUCGGGAGGAAUACCAGUGGCGAAGGCGGCCUUCUGGACUGACACUGACGCUGAGGUGCGAAAGCGUGGGUAGCAAACAGGAUUAGAUACCCUGGUAGUC